GAUGAACGCUGGCGGCGUGCCUAUACAUGCAAGUCGAGCGAACAGACGAGGAGCUUGCUCCUCUGACGUUAGCGGCGGACGGGUGAGUAACACGUGGAUAACCUACCUAUAAGACUGGGAUAACUUCGGGAAACCGGAGCUAAUACCGGAUAAUAUAUUGAACCGCAUGGUUCAAUAGUGAAAGACGGUUUUGCUGUCACUUAUAGAUGGAUCCGCGCCGCAUUAGCUAGUUGGUAAGGUAACGGCUUACCAAGGCAACGAUGCGUAGCCGACCUGAGAGGGUGAUCGGCCACACUGGAACUAAGACACGGUCCAGACUCCUACGGGAGGCAGCAGUAGGGAAUCUUCCGCAAUGGGCGAAAGCUUGACGGAGCAACGCCGCGUGAGUGAUGAAGGUCUUCGGAUCGUAAAACUCUGUUAUUAGGGAAGAACAAAUGUGUAAGUAACUAUGCACGUCUUGACGGUACCUAAUCAGAAAGCCACGGCUAACUACGUG
Molecule: ribosomal RNA, 496 nt
Filed under: uncultured bacterium
Lineage: Bacteria
Description: partial 16S ribosomal RNA
Rfam family: Bacterial small subunit ribosomal RNA
Source: RNAcentral